Molecule: long non-coding RNA, 543 nt
Organism: Rosa chinensis
Lineage: Eukaryota; Viridiplantae; Streptophyta; Magnoliopsida; Rosales; Rosaceae
Exons: 2
Source: RefSeq, a predicted model, not a curated record
CCCCUCUCUAUUCAGUUACAAUAUACCUACUGUAAACAGGGAUUCUGAUUCCAGGUCAAUUUUAUGAACCUCAACUUCUCAUCUAUAAAAUAGUUGUAGUAGAGCUAACACUUGAGGCCAGAGACAGGAAGGAAGUAAUCACCACAUUUAACUUAAAAAGAAAUGGCAUCACUCAAGGCUGAGAAACCUGUUGGCACUCAAGCCCCUAUAGCACAACCGAAGAAAGAGCCUGCAGCUCCAAAAGCGAUAGGUGCCACGCCCAAAGCUCCAGCCUCCAAAGCCGCCCCUAAGAAGACCGAGACGAAGCCUAAGGAGCCUAGGAAGAAGACUACUGGAAGCAAACCAGCUGCAGCCAAGAAUUAAGCAGAACGAGGAUGAAGGGUGCGAGGUGUGGAGCGCAUGAAGAUGCUAAACCAUCGCCAUCCUCCAUAAUGUUUAAUAAAAUCAUAACCAGUACUACACUACUAGCUUGGUUGUGAUCUAUGUCCAUGUUUCUCUUUUUAUCUUGGCCUUUUUAAUAAAAUAUCUAUGUUUUGAAUAGUC